RNAcentral lists this ribosomal RNA (253 nucleotides) under uncultured bacterium. RNAcentral's name for it is "partial 16S ribosomal RNA". It matches the Rfam family "Bacterial small subunit ribosomal RNA", at positions 524 to 776 of the family's 1533-position model. The record is from RNAcentral.
GACGGAGGAUGCAAGCGUUAUCCGGAAUGAUUGGGCGUAAAGCGUCCGCAGGUGGCAGUUCAAGUCUGCUGUCAAAGACCGGGGCUCAACCUCGGAAAGGCAGUGGAAACUGAACAGCUAGAGUAUGGUAGGGGCAAAGGGAAUUCCUGGUGUAGCGGUGAAAUGCGUAGAGAUCAGGAAGAACAUCGGUGGCGAAGGCAGGUGGCUACGCUUCGUCUGACACUGAGGCACGAAAGCGUGGGGAGCGAACAGG